This 253-nucleotide ribosomal RNA is filed under the name uncultured bacterium. RNAcentral describes it as "partial 16S ribosomal RNA". It matches the Rfam family "Bacterial small subunit ribosomal RNA", at positions 524 to 776 of the family's 1533-position model. The record is from RNAcentral.
UACAGAGGGUGCGAGCGUUAAUCGGAAUUACUGGGCGUAAAGCGCGCGUAGGUGGACAAUUAAGUCAUGUGUGAAAGCCCCGGGCUCAACCCGGGAACUGCAUGUGAGACUGGUUGUCUAGAGUGUGGUAGAGGGAAGUAGAAUUUCCGGUGUAGCGGUGAAAUGCAUAGAUAUCGGAAGGAAUACCAGUGGCGAAGGCGACUUCCUGGGCCACUACUGACACUGAGGCGCGAAAGCGUGGGGAGCAAACAGG